This 1598-nucleotide ribosomal RNA is filed under the name Salmonella enterica subsp. enterica. RNAcentral's name for it is "partial 23S ribosomal RNA". It matches the Rfam family "Bacterial large subunit ribosomal RNA", at positions 1 to 1547 of the family's 2925-position model. The record is from RNAcentral. Lineage: Bacteria; Pseudomonadati; Pseudomonadota; Gammaproteobacteria; Enterobacterales; Enterobacteriaceae.
GGGUUGUGAGGUUAAGCGACUAAGCGUACACGGUGGAUGCCCUGGCAGUCAGAGGCGAUGAAGGGCGUGCUAAUCUGCGAUAAGCGCCGGUAAGGUGAUAUGAACCGUUAUAACCGGCGAUACCCGAAUGGGGAAACCCAGUGUGAUUCGUCACACUAUCAUUAACUGAAUCCAUAGGUUAAUGAGGCGAACCGGGGGAACUGAAACAUCUAAGUACCCCGAGGAAAAGAAAUCAACCGAGAUUCCCCCAGUAGCGGCGAGCGAACGGGGAGGAGCCCAGAGCCUGAAUCAGCAUGUGUGUUAGUGGAAGCGUCUGGAAAGGCGCGCGAUACAGGGUGACAGCCCCGUACACAAAAGCGCAUGUGUUGUGAGCUCGAUGAGUAGGGCGGGACACGUGGUAUCCUGUCUGAAUAUGGGGGGACCAUCCUCCAAGGCUAAAUACUCCUGACUGACCGAUAGUGAACCAGUACCGUGAGGGAAAGGCGAAAAGAACCCCGGCGAGGGGAGUGAAAAAGAACCUGAAACCGUGUACGUACAAGCAGUGGGAGCACAGGUUUACCUGUGUGACUGCGUACCUUUUGUAUAAUGGGUCAGCGACUUAUAUUCUGUAGCAAGGUUAACCGUAUAGGGGAGCCGGAGGGAAACCGAGUCUUAAUUGGGCGUUAAGUUGCAGGGUAUAGACCCGAAACCCGGUGAUCUAGCCAUGGGCAGGUUGAAGGUUGGGUAACACUAACUGGAGGACCGAACCGACUAAUGUUGAAAAAUUAGCGGAUGACCUGUGGCUGGGGGUGAAAGGCCAAUCAAACCGGGAGAUAGCUGGUUCUCCCCGAAAGCUAUUUAGGUAGCGCCUCGUGAACUCAUCUCCGGGGGUAGAGCACUGUUUCGGCUAGGGGGCCAUCCCGGCUUACCAACCCGAUGCAAACUGCGAAUACCGGAGAAUGUUAUCACGGGAGACACACGGCGGGUGCUAACGUCCGUCGUGAAGAGGGAAACAACCCAGACCGCCAGCUAAGGUCCCAAAGUCAUGGUUAAGUGGGAAACGAUGUGGGAAGGCCCAGACAGCCAGGAUGUUGGCUUAGAAGCAGCCAUCAUUUAAAGAAAGCGUAAUAGCUCACUGGUCGAGUCGGCCUGCGCGGAAGAUGUAACGGGGCUAAACCAUGCACCGAAGCUGCGGCAGCGAACGUAUCACCCAAGACAACUUUGCGGAGUUGACGAUUGACGGAGCGAAGCGACGUCAAAGCGUUCAUUAAAGUCGAGUUGGCUUAGGGAUACGUUCGUUGGGUAGGGGAGCGUUCUGUAAGCCAGUGAAGGUGUGUCGUGAGGCAUGCUGGAGGUAUCAGAAGUGCGAAUGCUGACAUAAGUAACGAUAAAGCGGGUGAAAAGCCCGCUCGCCGGAAGACCAAGGGUUCCUGUCCAACGUUAAUCGGGGCAGGGUGAGUCGACCCCUAAGGCGAGGCCGAAAGGCGUAGUCGAUGGGAAACGGGUUAAUAUUCCCGUACUUGGUGUUACUGCGAAGGGGGGACGGAGAAGGCUAUGUUGGCCGGGCGACGGUUGUCCCGGUUUAAGCGUGUAGGUGUGUGUUCCAGGUAAAUCCGGUU